Long non-coding RNA from Cydia pomonella (codling moth), 861 nucleotides. RefSeq lists it as uncharacterized. The record is from RefSeq and is a predicted model, not a curated record. NCBI's taxonomy places the organism in Eukaryota, Metazoa, Arthropoda, Insecta, Lepidoptera, Tortricidae. The transcript is spliced from 2 exons.
UACUAUUACGCUGCACAAAUUUCUUCAAUGAUGUAUAAUAACUAAGUAGUAGGCGUUAUCAUGAAGCCUUCGACCAUGAAUAUUCAGAGUAAAAGUUAAAAUUUCUGAACGCAACGGCCACGUUCCCGCGAACAGAACUGUCAACUUCAUUGUGUUUAUUCAUGUAAGCCGACGACCAUUAGGGCAUAAUAAAAUAAAACGUUUUUAACUGAAAAUAACAGUUAACAUUUUAUAAGAAUAUGAAAAAAUAAAGAAAAUAGUGUUAACAGUGACGAAUUGCAAAAUUGGAGGGAAAAAACCACAAGAUCGGAGAAGAAAAUGCAACUUUCGCGUUCAAGGUCAAUUGCGGCGUCCUUUCGUCGAUAGCAUAGCUACACGGACAUGAUAAAUAUCGAGAUAAAAAUGUAGCAGGCCAUGGAUGUACCUACAUUAAUAGUGCCAGCGAACGAAUGUUUAAUGCAUACAUAACUAAAAUUCCGAAAAGGAACAUAAACGUCGGCAAGUGAAGAAUGAAGCGAGUUAAUUUUGACCUUGUUGGAAGGAGGCACCGCACCAGAAGGUUAAAUAUGGGAAUAAUCCUUCUAGGACAAUCUUGUUGUUUGCUUGCAGAUAUAUAAUUACGAACAUUACAAAACAACAAUGACCCGGACAAGAUUAUGAAAAAAUACUCUGCCUUGUUAAAUUACUAGUGCUCUGAAGAUGAACCAAGAGACUCAAGCUGCGGCUGGUGAGACGUUUGUCAGUUGGGAACAAGGCUAGGUAUUGAAAUGAAACAAAAUAAAGUUUCCUGUGACCUGUUCUCUCACUGUGAUGAUUUAGCACUCAAUAAAUUGUCUGCUGUAACCAGCUAUGAAAAGGUAA